This 3984-nucleotide long non-coding RNA is filed under the name Bemisia tabaci. Its description in RNAcentral is "lncRNA ENSSSA1NGG009254". The record is from RNAcentral. Lineage: Eukaryota; Metazoa; Arthropoda; Insecta; Hemiptera; Aleyrodidae.
AUGCCGGAUGAUAUAACAUCAGCAGAAGAAUACAUUGAAAGGAACAAUUUGAUGACAAAACCAUUAGUCAAAGUUUCUUCUGCCCAAGAUGUUCUGCCAUCUUCAGAAAAAUCAUGUUUAGUCAAAUUGCCGUCACUAAUUGAAGGUGAUGAGGAUCAGGCAGUGAAAAAUUCAAUCAUACCAGAGGAUGAAUUAUCUAAGGAGAGUUUUCCUUUGAUUAGACCACAAGCAACUGAUGGGAUGAAGGCUGAACAGCCAGUUGAAGGUAUUCCUGCAUCGUGUGCUUCAGAAGUUGUGGAGUCAGGUUCUCAGAUCACAUUGCGUUCGACAGAUAGUCCAAAGGCAGAGGAACCAAUCAGCAUCUUAUCCGAUCCACUUGCUUCAGCUUCUUUGGAUGGGAGCACACCAUCAAAACGACAAUUCACUGAUGAAGUGGACACGGAGCAGUGGAUCCAAAUUUCUUCCCCAAAUACUUUAGCUGAGGUUGAGGUAAGCUCUAUAUCCAAACUAGCUGAAACCAGUGAAUUAAAAAGAGAUUUAUCGGCCGAAAGUAGUGAUGUAGUGGCCGUAAAAUCUGUUGAAACUUCAUCGGUAUCAGUCAUCUUAAAGGCCGAGGAAAAAAAUUCUCAAGACAACCGUAUGCCACCAGAUGUUUUAACAGAAAAGUGGCCCAUGCAUAAUUCUGAUAGAGCCGCGUCAGUGUUCUCUGAGGACCAUGUCCCGACUGAAACACCGGUAGUUGAUGAAGCCAAAGCAAAGCAAGCAGUCAAAGUUUCCUGCCCUUCAGAUUCUCUCAACUACAAUAAACCAGCGGAAACCGCAUCAGACACUUCAGCCCCUGCAGAUGUUGAUGAUCAGUCAGAAACACUCCCAACGGAUGGCGUCGAGACGAAACAACCCGUAGAAUUUUCAUUAAUUUUAGACCCCUCAGUACUUGUCGCGGAAAGCAGUCAUGCCGACCCAUUAACAAUUAACAAAGAAGAGUCGAAAGAACCAGUUAAACCAGCGGGUACGUCUGACGCUAAAAAAUCUUUAAAAGAAAGCGCUGAGAUAAGAUCAGCCUCAGAAGAUCUUAUAAAUUCUACACAACCAGCAAAUUUCUCCUCCAUCCCGGACGAUACAACAUCAUCAGAAGAAAACAGCGAAAUCGAAUCACUACCAACUACUGAUUUGAAAACACAACCAUCGGUUAAAAUUUCUUCUGCGCAUCAUGUCCCGAUAUCAUCAGAAAAAUCACGUCCAAUCAAAUUACAAACAUUAACUGAAGGCGAUGUGAAUCAGCCUGCGAAUGAAUCAACCGUGCUAGAAGAUGGAACAUCUGUGGAGGACAUUGCUUCGAUUAGACCACAGGCUACAGAGGGGAUGAAAAUUGUUUCAGAAUUUGUAGAUACAGGUUCUAGGUCAACUGACAGUUUAGACGCAGACAAAUCAAUCAGCAUCUCAUCAUCUCCACUUGCUUCGACAUCUUUGGAUAGAAACUCACCAUCGAAACCACAACCUACUAAUGAAGUGGAGGUAGGUCAGUGCAUCAAAAUAUCUUCCGUCGAUACUUCAGUGGAAGUUGAAGUAAGUUCGGUACCCAAACCAGCUGAAAUCUGUGAACUAACAACAGAUCAAUUGGCUGAAAGUAGCGAUGUAAUGACAGAAAAAUCUUUUGAUACUUCAUCCACAUCAGAAAUCUCAAUGAUCGAGGAGGAAAACUCUCAAAUAGCCGUAAUAUUUCAGACUCCAUCUCAUUCAGCUGAUAACACCGAGGCUCGUCAACUUACCGAAACUUUCUCCUCUCCAAUCUCCCCAACAUCUGCGCAAGAAGGCACUUCGGUGCAUCAACCCUCAACUGUUGAUACAAAAGCAGAUAGAUCGCUAAAAGUUUCCAAUGCCUUAGAUACGAUGGUGUCAAUUGAAAAGAGCUGUCAAGUCAAACAACCUACAAGUGAUGAAAGGAACUUGCAUCAACCCAUUCAAACAUGUGAGACCUUUAGUUCAGGUACCUCAUGCUCAACAUUAUUGUCAGUAUUGGUCGCAGAAAAAUCGAAAAAAGUUGGGAAGAAGCUUACACCGCUCUCUCUCGAUACAGAAAAUGCUACACCCACAAAACGUUUUAAGUCUGAUGUAGUUGCAAAUCCAUCCUCUGACUCUUCCCCGGUCCUACAAUCGUCAGAUGUAUCCUGUAGUAAUGUUGAAAGCCAAGUUCAAAGAAGUGCCUCUAAACAUGAGCUCGAUUGCAAAGGAGAUAUCGAUGAAAUUCCAAGCAAAAAGCGGAAGACUGAAUUCUUGAACAUCGUUUCAUCGGGUUCGAUCUCAGGUGAUAGCCUUGGCACUGACCAAGUUGAAUCUGUUGUUUCAUUUGCCGAACGAAAUAAAUCAAAAACUUCUCCAUAUUCUGGAAUUUUAGAUUUAAACAUUAUCACUGAAGCAGAGGCUACAGCUGGAAGCCCUCCUUUGUCAAUAAUAGACAACUCAGAAAAUAUAACUAAAAGUGAGGUAAUUGCCAUUGAUAAUACUGAAAGUGCCAAAGUAGAAGUUUGCAGUCUUACCCACUCAACUUCCCCAGAUAAUAUUCAGAAUGUAGUAUCGUCUAAUGAUAAAAUACUCUCUACACUUGAAUCUUUCACGAAGCAGCCUCGAAGUUUAAGCAAGUCCCCACCAUCCAAUCCAGAUCCCCCAAAAGAAGACUCUUUUGUUAAAAGUGCUCAAAAAAGGAGAGAAACUCCUUUUUUAUACACCAUAAGUCCUGAGGGUAAGGACUCUAAAACUCAUCCACUCAGUGAAAGGAGAAAGCUAAUUGAUGUUGCAUGUGCCAUAACUUUGGACCUGUCGGUGGUAGUUGAAUCAAAAAGCAAACGCAGAAAAAUAGGUCAUUGUGGAAGACAACUGAACCUCAAUGCUAAAGAUCCUAUCUCUGAAAGAGCAAAAUGCAAAGAAGAUAAGUCUGGCUCUGUAAUGUCUGUUACGGAAGUGUUCAGCAAAGGAAGUGUCUUUAUAUCUAAUGCUGGUGAAAGUGAAACAAAAGAUCAAAUUUUCUCCCAUUCUCUCAUGUUUCAUGAAUCUGCAAUGAGCAAAGAUGAUACGCCGUCACCACAGAACGAAAUCAAAUCAUCAGCCGAAAUUUCAGUCACGGGCGUUUCCUCUCAGAUCAGUCCCAAACCUAUUGUAUUUCAUCAUGUUGAACCGGCCCUAGAUAAGAUGCAGAAUUCCCUUCUUUUCCCAAAUGAUAAAUUAACAACGCCCACCAGUGCUAAAGAAGCGUCUUCAAACGAAACUUUCGAUGCCUUUGUUCUGCCCUGUACCGUAGAAGCAACCACCUAUGGAAAAAUAUCACCUCAAAAUACCUGUAAUGUCAAUACAAAUUCGCCCAUCUGUAAUGAAGAAUCAGCCAUUGUGCCAUCCAAUGAUGAUGCAUCCUUAUUAUCUGAUGAUUUUCUCAGGCUUCAAAAUAAUGAAAAAACUGAUUUUGCCUGCUCUUGUUCUGAACCUGGAAACGCCCUGUCCGUUACUGAAAAUUUACCUAUCCCUGACAAGAAUAAGAAAACUACUUCCUCCACUGGUCGCAGCGUUGAUGUUCCCUGUGAGAAAGAUAAAACUGUCACUGAAUACAAAACCUCUCAGUCCUUGAAGGACUCCGACAUAACUUCUCAAGACACUGUCUAUCCACCUAUUGAUCCUAAUAAAAUCAACCAAGAAUCCUCGGGUGAUGAUCUCUCCUCUAAAAAUGCAAAAGAUAACAAGAUCUCUCAACAAAUAGGGUACGUAACUUGUUGUUAUAACAAUAAUGUUUCUUCUAGAACUGUAUCUUUUGGCAGUCCCUCUAUUUUUGAGGAAGGGCAGCCUUUCAAUUGUGAUCCUCCAUCCAAUCCCGCCUCAACUUCCAAACCUGAGAUGUUAGUUGUUCCUGAUGACAUUUCUGAUUCUCUGCCAAUCUCUUUGACUCCUCUCAAGCCCACUCCUGCAAGAGUGGCAACUCUGUCUCUCGUAGCUCCGUAG